Molecule: ribosomal RNA, 506 nt
Filed under: uncultured bacterium
Lineage: Bacteria
Description: partial 16S ribosomal RNA
Rfam family: Bacterial small subunit ribosomal RNA
Source: RNAcentral
GAUGAACGCUAGCGGCAGGCCUAACACAUGCAAGUCGAGGGGCAGCACAUAAAGUGGUUUACUACUUUUGGUGGCGACCGGCGGACGGGUGCGUAACGCGUAUGCAACCUGCCUCCAACAGGGGGAUAACGGAGAGAAAUUUCCACUAAUACCCCAUAAUAUCAGAAUCGGCAUCGGUUUUGGUUGAAAACUCCGGUGGUUGGAGAUGGGCAUGCGUUGUAUUAGAUAGUUGGUGAGGUAACGGCUCACCAAGUCAACGAUACAUAGGGGGACUUAGAGGUUAGCCCCCCACACUGGUACUGAGACACGGACCAGACUCCUACGGGAGGCGGCAGUGAGGAAUAUUGGUCAAUGGGGGCAACCCUGAACCAGCCAUGCCGCGUGCAGGAAGACGGCUCUAUGAGUUGUAAACUGCUUUUACAAGGGGAUAAAUCGGUGUACGUGUACACCGUUGAAGGUACCUUGGGAAUAAGGAUCGGCUAACUCCGUGCCAGCCGCCGCAGUAA